This 610-nucleotide long non-coding RNA is filed under the name Mytilus galloprovincialis (Mediterranean mussel). Lineage: Eukaryota; Metazoa; Mollusca; Bivalvia; Mytilida; Mytilidae. The record is from RNAcentral.
UAUUUGUCGAUAUGUCAUACGGUAUUUGAAAAUAAGUGAAAAUAAGCCAAAAUCAAAAUUUAGAAUAUGACCUUGACCUUUGACCUUGACCUUAUUUUUCAUUUUUUUGGACCAAGGACCUCAAAUCUAAAGACCCUAGGUCUCUAUCACUUAUGGUUUACCAUUUAGAAAUGCAUAUCACUUAAUUAAAUGGAAAAGGGGGAAUAACUCUCAUAUGGAGUCUCCGUAUAGCUUCGGUCCAAAUGAAUAUCCUAAUCCUGAAGAUGUAACGAGCAAUUUGGUAAAAUAAAUUUGUCGUAAUCUUUUAACGGUUGCGAAGGAGUAGUGGCCACAAGAAAAACAGUGUUUGGGGAGAUAACUCUUACAACGUAAAGUAUUUUGUUACGCGGUUGUAAAUUUUUAAAGCGUAUAAACUAUACGAUAUCAUAUUCCAAAUAUCUAAGCGACAUCUUUUGAAACAUCAAUACUACGCAAGAAAAAAAUUAGGCGGAAGAAAAAAAAAAAAAAUAAUUAAAAACCAAUUGUUCAGAGAACAAUUGUAGGUCUUUCCACUAGUAAAGAUCUAUUUUGAUAUUGAAAUAUGAAAAAUCAGUUUAAAAUGUUAGUUCCU